RNAcentral lists this ribosomal RNA (774 nucleotides) under uncultured Neocallimastigales. RNAcentral's name for it is "partial large subunit ribosomal RNA". It matches the Rfam family "Eukaryotic large subunit ribosomal RNA", at positions 24 to 647 of the family's 3401-position model. The record is from RNAcentral. Lineage: Eukaryota; Fungi; Neocallimastigomycota; Neocallimastigomycetes; Neocallimastigales.
GUAGUCUCGCACAGAUGCAUAUCAAUAAGCGGAGGAAAAGAAACUAACAAGGAUUCCCCUAGUAACGGCGAGUGAAGCGGGAAGAGCUCAAAUUUGAAAUCUUAAAGGGUUUCCCUUUACGAAUUGUAGUUUAAAGAAGUGUUUUCUGUUGAGGUUUUGGUAAAAGUUCUUUGGAAUAGGACAUCAUAGAGGGUGAGAAUCCCGUAUUUGACCUUUACUUUCAACUUUGUGAUACACUUUCAAAGAGUCGGAUUGUUUGGGAAUGCAGUCCAAAAUGGGUGGUAAAUUUCAUCUAAAGCUAAAUAUUGGCGAGAGACCGAUAGCGAACAAGUACCGUGAGGGAAAGAUGAAAAGAACUUUGAAAAGAGAGUUAAACAGUACGUGAAAUUGUCAAAAGGGAAGCGUUUGACACCAGUGUUGUUUUUCUGAAAAUCAAUUAAAGAACUGUUUAUGCUAAGUUGUUUAGACUUUAUCAGCUAUCUGCUUAGUUUUGAGCUUUUCUUUAAUGCACUUUUCAGUUAACAAGUCAACAUCAAUUUCUUUUGCUGUAAAAAAGCUUGAGGAAGGUGGCUUGAGAUUCGUCUUAAGUGUUUAUAGCCUCUUGCCUAUGCAGUCGGAGAGAUUGAGGUCUGCAGCGUAGAUCCUUCGGGGCUAAAUGCAUUUGUGCUAAGUUAUAGCAUUUUAUAGACAACUUGCUGACUAUGAUUUGUCUUGUAGCUUACUCGCUUAUGUUAUUUUACCUACGCUUAGGAUGUUGACGCAUGAGAUAUACGC